ACGCUCGACACCUACGGGAGGCAGCAGUGGGGAAUAUUGCACAAUGGGGGAAACCCUGAUGCAGCGACGCCGCGUGAAGGAAGAAGUAUUUCGGUAUGUAAACUUCUAUCAGCAGGGAAGAAACUGACGGUACCUGACUAAGAAGCACCGGCUAAAUACGUGCCAGAAGCCGCGGUAAUCUGAGCGGGCUGGCAAGGC
RNAcentral lists this ribosomal RNA (198 nucleotides) under uncultured bacterium. RNAcentral describes it as "partial 16S ribosomal RNA". It matches the Rfam family "Bacterial small subunit ribosomal RNA", at positions 328 to 539 of the family's 1533-position model. The record is from RNAcentral.